This 274-nucleotide ribosomal RNA is filed under the name uncultured bacterium. RNAcentral describes it as "partial 16S ribosomal RNA". It matches the Rfam family "Archaeal small subunit ribosomal RNA", at positions 473 to 747 of the family's 1478-position model. The record is from RNAcentral.
AAACCAGCACCUCAAGUGGUCAGGAUGAUUAUAGGGCCUAAAGCAUCCGUAGCCUGCUCUGUAAGUUUCCGGUUAAAUCCACUAGCUCAACUAGUGGGCUGCCGAAAAUACUGUAGAACUAGGGAGUGGGAGAGGUAGACGGUAUUCGGUAGGAAGGGGUAAAAUCCUUUGAUCUAUUGAGGACCACCUGUGGCGAAGGCGGUCUACCAGAACACGUUCGACGGUGAGGGAUGAAAGCUGGGGGAGCAAACCGGAUUAGAUACCCCAGUAGUCC